RNAcentral lists this ribosomal RNA (1389 nucleotides) under uncultured bacterium. RNAcentral's name for it is "16S ribosomal RNA". It matches the Rfam family "Bacterial small subunit ribosomal RNA". The record is from RNAcentral.
AGUCGAGGGGCAGCAUUUCAGUUUGCUUGCAAACUGGAGAUGGCGACCGGCGCACGGGUGAGUAACACGUAUCCAACCUGCCGAUAACUCGGGGAUAGCCUUUCGAAAGAAAGAUUAAUACCCGAUGGCAUAAUAAAACCGCAUGGUUUUUUUAUUAAAGAAUUUCGGUUAUCGAUGGGGAUGCGUUCCAUUAGGCAGUUGGUGAGGUAACGGCUCACCAAACCUUCGAUGGAUAGGGGUUCUGAGAGGAAGGUCCCCCACAUUGGAACUGAGACACGGUCCAAACUCCUACGGGAGGCAGCAGUGAGGAAUAUUGGUCAAUGGGCGCAGGCCUGAACCAGCCAAGUAGCGUGAAGGAUGACUGCCCUAUGGGUUGUAAACUUCUUUUAUAUGGGAAUAAAGUUUUCCACGUGUGGAAUUUUGUAUGUACCAUAUGAAUAAGGAUCGGCUAACUCCGUGCCAGCAGCCGCGGUAAUACGGAGGAUCCGAGCGUUAUCCGGAUUUAUUGGGUUUAAAGGGAGCGUAGGUGGACAGUUAAGUCAGUUGUGAAAGUUUGCGGCUCAACCGUAAAAUUGCAGUUGAUACUGGCUGUCUUGAGUACAGUAGAGGUGGGCGGAAUUCGUGGUGUAGCGGUGAAAUGCUUAGAUAUCACGAAGAACUCCGAUUGCGAAGGCAGCUCACUGGACUGCAACUGACACUGAUGCUCGAAAGUGUGGGUAUCAAACAGGAUUAGAUACCCUGGUAGUCCACACAGUAAACGAUGAAUACUCGCUGUUUGCGAUAUACAGUAAGCGGCCAAGCGAAAGCAUUAAGUAUUCCACCUGGGGAGUACGCCGGCAACGGUGAAACUCAAAGGAAUUGACGGGGGCCCGCACAAGCGGAGGAACAUGUGGUUUAAUUCGAUGAUACGCGAGGAACCUUACCCGGGCUUAAAUUGCAUUUGAAUAUAUUGGAAACAGUAUAGCCGUAAGGCAAAUGUGAAGGUGCUGCAUGGUUGUCGUCAGCUCGUGCCGUGAGGUGUCGGCUUAAGUGCCAUAACGAGCGCAACCCUUAUCUUUAGUUACUAACAGGUCAUGCUGAGGACUCUAGAGAGACUGCCGUCGUAAGAUGUGAGGAAGGUGGGGAUGACGUCAAAUCAGCACGGCCCUUACGUCCGGGGCUACACACGUGUUACAAUGGGGGGUACAGAAGGCAGCUACCUGGUGACAGGAUGCUAAUCCCAAAAGCCUCUCUCAGUUCGGAUCGAAGUCUGCAACCCGACUUCGUGAAGCUGGAUUCGCUAGUAAUCGCGCAUCAGCCAUGGCGCGGUGAAUACGUUCCCGGGCCUUGUACACACCGCCCGUCAAGCCAUGAAAGCCGGGGGUACCUGAAGUACGUAACCGCAAGGAG